GGAAGAGUACUCAAGUGGAUUAAGGGGACUGCCUUGAAAGCAGAUAGGCGAGAAAUCGCGGGUGGGUUCGAAUCCUACCUCUUCCG
RNAcentral lists this transfer RNA (86 nucleotides) under Caudoviricetes sp. RNAcentral's name for it is "tRNA-Ser". It matches the Rfam family "tRNA". Rfam says of the family: Transfer RNA (tRNA) molecules are approximately 80 nucleotides in length. Their secondary structure includes four short double-helical elements and three loops (D, anti-codon, and T loops). Lineage: Duplodnaviria; Heunggongvirae; Uroviricota; Caudoviricetes. The record is from RNAcentral.